UGACUGGGGCGGUCUCCUCCUAAAGAGUAACGGAGGAGCACGAAGGUUGGCUAAUCCUGGUCGGACAUCAGGAGGUUAGUGCAAUGGCAUAAGCCAGCUUGACUGCGAGCGUGACGGCGCGAGCAGGUGCGAAAGCAGGUCAUAGUGAUCCGGUGGUUCUGAAUGGAAGGGCCAUCGCUCAACGGAUAAAAGGUACUCCGGGGAUAACAGGCUGAUACCGCCCAAGAGUUCAUAUCGACGGCGGUGUUUGGCACCUCGAUGUCGGCUCAUCACAUCCUGGGGCUGAAGUAGGUCCCAAGGGUAUGGCUGUUCGCCAUUUAAAGUGGUACGCGAGCUGGGUUUAGAACGUCGUGAGACAGUUCGGUCCCUAUCUGCCGUGGGCGCUGGAGAACUGAGGGGGGCUGCUCCUAGUACGAGAGGACCGGAGUGGACGCAUCACUGGUGUUCGGGUUGUCAUGCCAAUGGCACUGCCCGGUAGCUAAAUGCGGAAGAGAUAAGUGCUGAAAGCAUCUAAGCACGAAACUUGCCCCGAGAUGAGUUCUCCCUGAGACUUAGAGUCUCCUGAAGGAACGUUGAAGACGACGACGUUGAUAGGCCGGGUGUGUAAGCGCAGCGAUGCGUUGAGCUAACCGGUACUAAUGAA
Molecule: ribosomal RNA, 643 nt
Filed under: Salmonella enterica subsp. enterica serovar Senftenberg
Lineage: Bacteria; Pseudomonadati; Pseudomonadota; Gammaproteobacteria; Enterobacterales; Enterobacteriaceae
Description: partial 23S ribosomal RNA
Rfam family: Bacterial large subunit ribosomal RNA
Source: RNAcentral